GACUUCAUGGCCCAAUGGAUAAGUUGCUGGUCUACGAAACCAGAGAUUAUGGUUUUAAUUCCCAGUGAAGUCA
This 73-nucleotide transfer RNA is filed under the name Ipomoea nil (Japanese morning glory). It matches the Rfam family "tRNA". From Rfam's summary of the family: Transfer RNA (tRNA) molecules are approximately 80 nucleotides in length. The record is from Rfam by way of RNAcentral. Lineage: Eukaryota; Viridiplantae; Streptophyta; Magnoliopsida; Solanales; Convolvulaceae.